RNAcentral lists this non-coding RNA (114 nucleotides) under Bacillus sp. (in: firmicutes). RNAcentral's name for it is "Bacillus sp. SAM-I sequence". It matches the Rfam family "SAM riboswitch aptamer (S box leader)". Rfam says of the family: The SAM riboswitch is found upstream of a number of genes which code for proteins involved in methionine or cysteine biosynthesis in Gram-positive bacteria. The record is from RNAcentral. Lineage: Bacteria; Bacillati; Bacillota; Bacilli; Caryophanales; Bacillaceae.
UCCUUAUCAAGAGUGGUGGAGGGACUGACCCUAUGAAACCCGGCAACCGGUUUGUAUGCCAUACAAACAAAGGUGCUACGUUCAGCAGAAUGUAUUCAUUCUGGUAGAUAAGGG